GGGGGCACAUCAGCGGCAGACGGGUGAGUAACACGUANGGUACCUACCCCAGAGACAGGGAUAACCCGAGGAGGGCGAGGGCUAAUACCGGAUGACCUCCGGAAGGAGGAAAGGCUCAGGCGCUCUGGGAGGGGCUUGCGGNCCAUCAGCUAGUUGGUAGGGUAAAGGCCUACCAAGGCGAAGACGGGUAGGGGGUGUGAGAGCACGGCCCCCCACAAUGGGACUGAAACACGGCCCAUACUCCUACGGGAGGCAGCAGCGAGGGAAUAUUGCACAAUAGGCGAAAGCCUGAUGCAGCGACGCCGCGUGAGUGAAGAAGGCCUUCGGGUCGUAAAGCUCUUUUGUAGGGGAAGAGGAAGGACGGUACCCUAAGAAGAAGCGUCGGCUAACUACGUGCCAGCAGCCGCGGUAAGACGUAGGACGCGAGCGUUAUCCGGAAUUACUGGGCGUAAAGGGCCAGCAGGCGGCUUGGUAAGUUGUGCGUGAAAGCCUCGUGCUCAACGCGAGGAAGCCGGACAAUACUGUCAAGCUAGAGGGCAUCAGAGGGGAGUGGAAUUCCCGGAGUAGCGGUAAAAUGCGCAGAUAUCGGGAGGAACACCGAUGGCGAAGGCAGCUCCCUGGGAUGCACCUGACGCUAAGAGGCGAAAGCUAGGGGAGCGAACAGGAUUAGAGACCCUGGUAGUCCUAGCUGUAAACGCUGGGUGCUAGGUGUGGGACGUAGAAGUUCCGUGCCGGAGCAAACGCGAUAAGCACCCCGCCUGGGAAUUACGGUCGCAAGGCUAAAACUCAAACGAAUUGACGGGGCCCCGCACAAGCAGCGGAGCGUGUGGUCAAUUCGAUGCUACA
This 846-nucleotide ribosomal RNA is filed under the name uncultured organism. Its description in RNAcentral is "bacterial SSU rRNA". It matches the Rfam family "Bacterial small subunit ribosomal RNA", at positions 83 to 961 of the family's 1533-position model. The record is from RNAcentral.